GGGAGGGCGACGCGGGGAACCGAGAGGAGCAGCUGGGACGCCGGAGAUACCGAAACAGGAGAGAGGAGGAGAAAAGAUAGAGACUGAGAAUCGGAGGAGGCAGAGAAACGAUCAGAGGAGAGAGAAGGAUAGAAAAGGGAACAGUGGAUUCAAAGGAAACCCCGCCAUGGCAGUGCCUUGGCACCGGCUGCGACCCUCUCCUCCGGUACCCGGAAAGGGUCUUCGGCUCCACUUCUGCCCCCGGCCGGGAGCUGCCGGCCGCCCGGGGAGGAACCUGAGAGUGUUGGCCCAGGAGGUCCUCGACAUCUGGGGACCCUUCUCCAUCCCAGUCCCCGUCAGCAGACCAAGUUAGAAUCCAGCCUGCCUGGCUCUUAGCUGUGUCGUGACCUUGGGCAAGUCACCCCAGUCCUGGAGAUCCCACGAACUGUGUGGAGCUACAGCAAGACAUACCUUUUACGCUGGUCUCCAGUACAAGAAGUACCUGUAAUAUGUAUAUAACAUAUAUAUAAAUACAUGUAAUGUCACAAAAGUUGCAGGAAACCCCACUUACUCACUAUGCCUCAAACAUUGUAUUUUAAAUUCUACCCUAUUUCUGUUUGGAAAAAGUUCUGUUCGCAACGCA
Long non-coding RNA from Felis catus (domestic cat), 622 nucleotides. RefSeq lists it as uncharacterized. NCBI's taxonomy places the organism in Eukaryota, Metazoa, Chordata, Mammalia, Carnivora, Felidae. The record is from RefSeq and is a predicted model, not a curated record. The transcript has 3 exons.